CGUGUAGGCGGUGCGGUAAGUUGGGCGUGAAAUCCCCGAGCUUAACUCGGGUGGGCCGUUCAAGACUGCCGUGCUAGGGUGCGGGAGAGGGAAGUGGAAUUUCCGGUGUAGCGGUGAAAUGCGUAGAUAUCGGGAGGAACACCUGCGGCGAAGGCGGCUUCCUGGACCGUAACCGACGCUGAGGCGCGAAAGCUAGGGGAGCAAACAGGAUUAGAUACCCUGGUAGUCCUAGCCCUAAACGAUGAGCACUGGGUGUGGCCCCUCACGGGGCCGUGCCGAAGCUAACGCAUUAAGUGCUCCGCCUGGGGAGUACGGUCGGCAAGGCUGAA
RNAcentral lists this ribosomal RNA (329 nucleotides) under uncultured bacterium. RNAcentral describes it as "bacterial SSU rRNA". It matches the Rfam family "Bacterial small subunit ribosomal RNA", at positions 568 to 898 of the family's 1533-position model. The record is from RNAcentral.